Molecule: small RNA, 670 nt
Filed under: Histoplasma ohiense
Lineage: Eukaryota; Fungi; Ascomycota; Eurotiomycetes; Onygenales; Ajellomycetaceae
Description: hypothetical lncRNA
Source: RNAcentral
CCAUCCGAACACUAUACGUAUCUGCUCCUCCGCUGUCUUCGCAGGCUUCUCGCGGAGAAUCGCGAAUAAUAGGCCCCCCACCUACACGUCGCGAACUACGGCAAACGCCUCUGCGAACACCCCGCUCCACUGUCGAGGAUAUUGAAUUAGGCCAAGUUGAUUGUGGUCGCUGGGUUAAAUAAAAGGGCUGUGGGGUUGUGCAUUGUGUUUUGGUUGGGUUGGGUUCGACCAAGUUGGAAAAACGGGGACGGACGACUGUUCAUUGAAACUUUGUCUGUUGUUUAUAAUACGCUGCGCAGAGGCGCAUUGUCCACGCUCUUCGUGUGCGUUUGGGAUGGUGGAUUUUGGAACUCUGGCAUAAAAUAUAGAUUUAAAUACGGAACUCAGCAGCAGCAACAGCAGCAGCGGCAGUCGCAUGCAUGCCGCACCACUCGCGCGAACGAGAGCGGGGUGAAUACCGCUCUCGAGACCGUGAUCGGAGACAGUACCACUACGAGCAAGCAAAUACGCACGAUCGACACGAAUAUACCUCUCAUACCUACGAUGACUACAGGAAUGAUAUCCAAGAUAGUGACGAUGGCGCUGACGAUGCUCUCUUCAACGAUCGAAGACGGAGCCGACAUUCCCGUCGAAAUUCCUCCUCCCACCCGCAAGCUCGGCCCUCACCAGC